This 772-nucleotide ribosomal RNA is filed under the name uncultured Neocallimastigales. RNAcentral's name for it is "partial large subunit ribosomal RNA". It matches the Rfam family "Eukaryotic large subunit ribosomal RNA", at positions 18 to 644 of the family's 3401-position model. The record is from RNAcentral. Lineage: Eukaryota; Fungi; Neocallimastigomycota; Neocallimastigomycetes; Neocallimastigales.
UCAGACGAUGCGUCAUGCAUAUCAAUAAGCGGAGGAAAAGAAACUAACAAGGAUUCCCUCAGUAACGGCGAGUGAAGCGGGAAGAGCUCAAAUUUGAAAUCUUGAAAGGUCACCUUUCACGAAUUGUAGUUUAAAGAAGUGUUUUCUGUUACGAUCGUAAUAUAAGUUCUUUGGAAUAGGACAUCACAGAGGGUGAGAAUUCCGUCUAUGAUUGCGAUUUGUAGCUUUGUGAUACACUUUCAAAGAGUCGGAUUGUUUGGGAAUGCAGUCCAAAAUGGGUAGGUAAAUUUCAUCUAAAGCUAAAUAUUGGCGAGAGACCGAUAGCGAACAAGUACCGUGAGGGAAAGAUGAAAAGAACUUUGAAAAGAGAGUUAAAUAGUACGUGAAAUUGUCAAAAGGGAAGCGUUUAACACCAGUGUUGUUUUCUGAAAAUCAACCUCUGUUAGCUUUAUGCAUGUUUGUUUAGACCUAAUCAGCUAUCUUGCAUGUUCUAUUGUUUGCAGUGGUGCACUUUUCAGUUUACAGGUCAACAUCAGUUUUUUUUACCGUAAAAAAGUUAAAGAAAGGUAGCUCAUGGCUCCGGUCGUGAGUGUUAUAGUCUUUUUCCUAUGCGGUAGGAGAGACUGAGGUCUGCAGUGUAGGCUAUUUGGCUAGAUACUCAGGUGCUAUGUGAUACCAUUUCAUAAACAACUUGUUGAUUAUGUUUUGUCUAUUGCAUACUCGCUUGUACUAUCAUACCUACGCUUAGGAUGUUGACUGAUAUGUAGUCGUA